Molecule: transfer RNA, 70 nt
Filed under: Phrynoderma karaavali
Lineage: Eukaryota; Metazoa; Chordata; Amphibia; Anura; Dicroglossidae
Description: tRNA-Phe
Rfam family: tRNA
About the family: Transfer RNA (tRNA) molecules are approximately 80 nucleotides in length. Their secondary structure includes four short double-helical elements and three loops (D, anti-codon, and T loops).
Source: RNAcentral
GCUCUUAUAGCUUAACCAAAGCGUAGCGCUGAAAACGCUAAGAUGAACCCUAAAAAAGUUCUGAGGGCAC